RNAcentral lists this ribosomal RNA (220 nucleotides) under Magneuptychia libye. RNAcentral's name for it is "partial large subunit ribosomal RNA". The record is from RNAcentral. Lineage: Eukaryota; Metazoa; Arthropoda; Insecta; Lepidoptera; Nymphalidae.
GAGUUUUAUAUUUAAUUUUAUUUUAUAAUUAUAUAAAAAUUUAUGUUAAAAUAAAAUUAAAAUAUUGUAUUGGGGUGAUAGAAAAAUAAAAUAAACUUUUUUUAAAAAAUUAACAUAAAUAAGUGAUUAAAUGAUCCAUUAUUAAUGAUUAUAAGAAAAAAUUACCUUAGGGAUAACAGCGUAAUAUUUUUUUUUAGAACAAAUAAAAAAAAAAGAUUGC